UUAGCAGGAAGGGACUAGAAAUCCUCUCUGUUGCUUUUUUGAUUUUGAGAGUGAAUAGCCUCAC
Etheostoma spectabile (orangethroat darter) is the source of this 64-nucleotide long non-coding RNA. RefSeq lists it as uncharacterized. The transcript has 3 exons. NCBI's taxonomy places the organism in Eukaryota, Metazoa, Chordata, Actinopteri, Perciformes, Percidae. The record is from RefSeq and is a predicted model, not a curated record.